Molecule: transfer RNA, 73 nt
Filed under: Megaviridae environmental sample
Lineage: Varidnaviria; Bamfordvirae; Nucleocytoviricota; Megaviricetes; Imitervirales; Mimiviridae
Description: tRNA-Val
Rfam family: tRNA
About the family: Transfer RNA (tRNA) molecules are approximately 80 nucleotides in length. Their secondary structure includes four short double-helical elements and three loops (D, anti-codon, and T loops).
Source: RNAcentral
GUCAGGAUAGUGUAGUGGUUAUCACAUCUGUUUUACACGCAGAAGGUCGUGGGUUCAAUUCCCACUCUUGACA